Molecule: long non-coding RNA, 222 nt
Organism: Acipenser ruthenus (sterlet)
Lineage: Eukaryota; Metazoa; Chordata; Actinopteri; Acipenseriformes; Acipenseridae
Exons: 3
Source: RefSeq, a predicted model, not a curated record
GAGAGACAGAGCGGACCGGGCUCGGAACCGCGCCGAGAAACGAGCACAGCAAGAACAGAACCGAGAGAGACGGGCGAUCUGAAAGGAGAGGCGGGUGUGGGAGCCGGGCUGUCGUGUCAGUCCUCCAGAACACGUCUGCUUGGUGGGACUCUAGCAGGCUUGUGCUGGCCGGUUUGGAAAGAGGCUCUCGGCUGUGAUACCCAACACUCCCCCCCCCCCCCC